Diabrotica virgifera virgifera (western corn rootworm) is the source of this 1090-nucleotide long non-coding RNA. RefSeq lists it as uncharacterized. The record is from RefSeq and is a predicted model, not a curated record. Lineage: Eukaryota; Metazoa; Arthropoda; Insecta; Coleoptera; Chrysomelidae. The transcript has 2 exons.
UGACAGUGAUAUUUUUUUCUUUUUUUUUGACAUUGACAGCUGACAAUGACAUUUUCUUCUUUUUUUGUUGACAUUGGUAGCUGGCGAAUGGUAAUGGCAGUUUACAUAAUAAAUGGCAGUUUACAAUUAAUAAACGGGCAGACUGCAAUUGCGCGCAGCGGUCAGAAAGGAGGAAGACCUAACCCUUCGGUCCAAACCUAACUUACGGGUAAUAGAGUGAGAGAACCGCAGGAGGUAUUUGACCGCUGCGCGCAAUCACAACCCACCCUAAUAAACAUAGUUUAAUUUGUAUCUCUCCAUUGACCUCACCGUACAUAAACGGCGACACUGUCUUUCUUUGCACUUAAACUGUUUUUUAAUUAAUCAAACACUUUGCAAACGUUGGAUUAAUUCUAAAUCGCUUUUUUGUGUGAUAUUAUUAAUAUCAAAAUAAGAAGUUACAUCCAUUUUUCGAUACUAAACGUGAAUGACAACUAAUCUUGUUUUGACAAAUUUUCAAAUUCCAAAGAUAUUUUGAUUUACAUCAAUAUUUGAAACAGAAAACCUUACGAUAAAAAUUGGCAACCUAGCACAGUCGUUGUCGAAUGUCGAUCUAAAUGUCAUAAACAUUUUGUGAUUUUGUGUUGUGAAUUUGAUUACUUGAUUGCAAAAAUGUUGACAGAGAGAAUUUAAAAUUUUGUUGGAUUAUAAUAUUUUCAAUAUAAUCCAGUAUUCUAAUAAAAAUAAUGGACGUAUACCGCACUAAUAUGGAUUAAUAAGAUAUAAAUAAAAGGAACAACCACCAGAUAUUUAAAAGGUAUAAAAAGAAGAACCUGCUGGAAUUUCAAAACAAAUGUGUUUGACUAGUAAAGAUUUGGAUAAAUAACAGGAGUUACUUUGGGCUAUAGCUACGUGCAGAUUUAUUUCCUUGUGGCUUCCUAUGUUAAUUCUUAUUAAUUAUACACUUAAAUAUGUUUUUAGUCUCAGGAAGAUUUUAUAUUUGAUUAUUUUUGAAUAAACAUUAUUAUUAUUAUUACCUUAAUUUCCAUUAAAUAAAUUAACUGUAAUCAAUAAAGUAAUCGUUUAAUUGUUAAUAAAUUAUCAAGUAUGA